Molecule: transfer RNA, 73 nt
Filed under: Mustela putorius furo (domestic ferret)
Lineage: Eukaryota; Metazoa; Chordata; Mammalia; Carnivora; Mustelidae
Rfam family: tRNA
About the family: Transfer RNA (tRNA) molecules are approximately 80 nucleotides in length.
Source: Rfam by way of RNAcentral
ACCUGGCUGGCUCAGUUGUUAGAGCUUCCGACUCUUGAUCUUGGUGUUGUGAAUUCGAAUCCCACGUUGGGUG